RNAcentral lists this long non-coding RNA (201 nucleotides) under Theobroma cacao (cacao). RNAcentral describes it as "long non-coding RNA (TCAC_LNC006039)". Lineage: Eukaryota; Viridiplantae; Streptophyta; Magnoliopsida; Malvales; Malvaceae. The record is from RNAcentral.
UAGACUGUAGAUAGCUGAUCUCAUCGAGGACUACCGUUGGGUUUGCAUUCUUCAAACUGUAGGUUUAUAGUCCUCUUUAUUUUUGUUUAUUCAGGGGCCCACUUAUUAUUGUAAAUUAAAUUAAAUACUUUGGCUUACUGUAUUACAGUAUUUAUGAAUUUAUUUAACUUUUAAGCUACAAAAAUUAUUUACGUAUAACUC